GAAUGCAUAAUGUCGAAUUUGUUCUUCCUGGAAUACUUAAACAAGAAUUGGAUUUUCAUAGUUUCAACUUUUAGCGGCAAUGUUGGUAUGAAUGAUGAUAAACAUUUUUUACAUUUUUAUCACAGUUAAAAAUAUCAUCAGUAAUUUACAAUGAGGAAAUUUUCAGACCAAUGAUUUGUAUUUAAGGAAAUAUAAAGUAUAAACAUGAAAAGCAAA
Molecule: long non-coding RNA, 216 nt
Organism: Xenia sp. Carnegie-2017
Lineage: Eukaryota; Metazoa; Cnidaria; Anthozoa; Malacalcyonacea; Xeniidae
Exons: 2
Source: RefSeq, a predicted model, not a curated record